UACGAAGGGAGCUAGCGUUGUUCGGAAUCACUGGGCGUAAAGCGCACGUAGGCGGAUGUGUCAGUCAGGGGUGAAAUCCCGGAGCUCAACUUCGGAACUGCCUUUGAUACAGCACAUCUGGAGUCCGGAAGAGGUGGGUGGAAUUCCUAGUGUAGAGGUGAAAUUCGUAGAUAUUAGGAAGAACACCGGUGGCGAAGGCGGGUCUCUGGGCCGAUACUGACGCUGAGGAGCGAAAGCGUGGGGAGCGAACAGG
This 253-nucleotide ribosomal RNA is filed under the name uncultured bacterium. RNAcentral describes it as "partial 16S ribosomal RNA". It matches the Rfam family "Bacterial small subunit ribosomal RNA", at positions 524 to 776 of the family's 1533-position model. The record is from RNAcentral.